Molecule: transfer RNA, 85 nt
Filed under: Arachnia propionica
Lineage: Bacteria; Bacillati; Actinomycetota; Actinomycetes; Propionibacteriales; Propionibacteriaceae
Also listed under: 2 other names
Description: Pseudopropionibacterium propionicum tRNA-Leu
Rfam family: tRNA
About the family: Transfer RNA (tRNA) molecules are approximately 80 nucleotides in length. Their secondary structure includes four short double-helical elements and three loops (D, anti-codon, and T loops). Further hydrogen bonds mediate the characteristic L-shaped molecular structure. tRNAs have two regions of fundamental functional importance: the anti-codon, which is responsible for specific mRNA codon recognition, and the 3' end, to which the tRNAs corresponding amino acid is attached (by aminoacyl-tRNA synthetases). tRNAs cope with the degeneracy of the genetic code in two manners: having more than one tRNA (with a specific anti-codon) for a particular amino acid; and 'wobble' base-pairing, i.e. permitting non-standard base-pairing at the 3rd anti-codon position.
Source: RNAcentral
GUCCGGGUGGCGGAAUGGUAGACGCGCUAGCUUGAGGUGCUAGUGCCCGAUACAGGGCGUGGAGGUUCAAGUCCUCUCUCGGACA